ACGAGAAGUUCGCGUAAAAGAAAAUACAGAUGGAGAAGGCUAGCCGGCUCGCUGUGUCACAGAGAGUCCCCUUAAGCCUACGUGACAACUCACAUACUGUCCCUUUGUGACCAGCUUAAUCGGCAGAAUGCCCGGUCUCUGUGUGCUUUGUCUCGCCGCCGUGCUGGCUGCGUUCGCCCGGCUCGUCGGCACCGUGGGGCCGGUGGUCCGCUGCGAGCCGUGCGACGCCGGGGCGCUCCUGCAGUGCAAGCCCCUGCCGAAGGACUGCGCGGAGCGGGUGAGGGAGCCCGGCUGCGGCUGCUGCAUGACGUGCGCCCUCGUCGAGGGACAGGCGUGUGGAGUGUACACGGCGCGCUGCGGCUCCGUCUUGACCUGCCUGCCCCAGCCGGGGGAGAGCCGACCCCUGCAAGCUCUGCUGGAGGGACGGGGAGUGUGCUCCAGUGCCGCGUCCAAAAAACUCAACAGCAUUCUCAUACCGGCGCAAAAACACGAUAAUGGUGGAAAUCAGGUAGAAGACGGUUGUGCCAACGUGACCCAGACAAUGACAGUGCUGCCCAGCGUACCGACUGUGAAGGGUGGACACAGUCGGGGGUCCAUGGACACCAGGCCUCCACUGCACAACAAACUGAUCCAGAAAGAUCAGAACAAGAAGACGCAGAGCUACAAGGUGGAAUCUGUGUCAGGAGGAGCCAAUAUGGACAUGCACAACUUCUCCCUGGAGAGCAAGAGGGAGACUGAGUAUGAUGAGUGUGUAAUAUUGGUGUCGCUGGGGUGUGUUUGCCGCGUUGCUAGGGGCCAUGUCGACGGGAGAUGGAGAGCAUCCUGAACAGUCUUAAAAUCAGCAACGUGCUCAACCCGAGAGGCUUCCGCAUACCCAACUGUGACAGAAAGGGCUUCUACAAGAAAAAACAGUGCCGUCCAUCCAAAGGCAGGAGGCGGGGAUACUGCUGGUGCGUGGACAAAUACGGGCAGCCUCUGCCCGGCCUGGAUGGCAGGGAGCGGGGCGAGACGCAGUGCUACAACCUGGAGAGCAAAUGAGCGGACGGAGGGACGACGAGUGGACGGAGAGAGGAAGACAGCGAAUAAGGGGGGAGGGGGAGAGAGACAGAGAGUAAGAAAGAAAGAGAGCCUACUUUGCUCUUGCAUGUAGUUUUAUGUAAACAUUUGAAGGAGCUCUGGACCUUUGAUUUCAGGUCCCAUUUCUGUCGGAGAAGGAGGGGAGAGAGCGAGGGGGAGGGGAGGGAGAAAGGGUGGAGCGCAGCCUCGGCGACCGGCUGAGCCUCCUGUCCAUCACAGCUAUCUGUCCUGUGCUUAGGGAACUUCUAUCCUUUCUUUAAACAAAAAAAAAAUGAAGCUGAAAGCUGACAGAGAAGGGGAAGAGAGAGAGGAUCCUAUCAUCUGCACUAUUCUUUUAGAGAGAGAGGAAGGAGGGACUUUUCCACUCACUUUAAAGAGGACUUGUUUGUGACUGUGACCCCAAAAACCACACCACCACCAUCUCUAUGUGUCUGUCUGUCUGUCUGUGUGUCCAACAUAUACGUGUGCACAGCUGCAUGUCUGUGCAACACAGCGAGUGAGUGGGCGCUUUGUGUAAAUACUGUUUGUCACUAAGCUCAGUUUAGAGAUGUCAGACUGUCCAUCCCCACCCACCUCCACCCCCUGCUCCAUCAAACAAUGCAGAAAAAAAAGAAAGUCGCUCUCUGGCUCAGGGUCCAUUUUGAAGUGAAGGAUUAUGGGACGGCAGGGCUUUGACGUUUUAUCCAGCGGUGGCCCUCCUUGCUGCCUCUGGCUCGUCCCUCUCUCUACCUUUAGGAGGGGAACGGAGGCAGUUACAGUGCCUUAACAAACCAACGACCUCUCCGAGCCGCCUCUCUCCUUCACCCUCUGUGGUCCCCGACUAAACAAAUACUUUUCAGAAAAUCUACCUUCUGAGUAUCAAACGCUCGCCCCCCCCCCCCCACACACACACAGGCCUGGAAAGUGUCUCUGAAAUGUUUGUAGCUGCAGCAGCUGUGCACAGACAAACUUCUGGAACGUUCAUCGCUGUUGAUCUGUACGCUGGUAGCUUCACAAAAAACGUCGAGUAAGCUACUUCCAGCAAAGAUUCUGAGCUAUAAAGUGUGAAGAGUGUGACAUGGAGUUUUGCAACAUACUGAAGUAAUGAAUCAAAGAAGUGCAUUAACCUGCAAACUUUGCCAAAUAUUAGCCUGGUUCCAGGUUCUCUGCUGACGCCCACAUCUCUUAUUUUUUCACUGUUUCAAUUGAAGAACGAGGGAGACGUCAUCUUCCUGCGCCAGAGAAAAUCGUGUUGUAGAUGAGUCAACGAUUUACAGAAAUAACAAGUUCCUAGCAUCUGCCACCAGAGCUACUUUUCAGGAUAUAAUCCCAAGAAAAUAAUGCAAACAUAAAAUGAUAAUUCAGUCUGAUUAUUUGAAGAUGUAGAAGACAUUUGAGGUUUGUUACAGAUGUAAGCAAGUGUGGUGAAGCUAACUGUGCUAGCACCACAUGUAGGCUGCGUAUCUAACCAUAUUUUGGCAUCAGUAUGAAUAUAUGGAACAUAAAUCUUAUGUGUAGACAGUGGAGAGAUGGAUUAUGUUGCAGCAGAGCUUUGAGAAGUUUGUCACUUCUCUGUGACGCCAUCUGUUGUAACUUCAGUGAAUCCAGGCUAACUGCAGCUCCAAGCUUUUCAGAGCCACUUCUCAGUCCGACAGGAGGCGAGUAUUUAAGGCUCAGAGGGUCGGUGUUUGGUGGAGUAUUAUUUUGAGGUGCUCACAUGCAGCCCGACAGUCUUAGGAAACAGUGUGGUUAGAUUAGUCUGUCUUCUGUCUCUUUCCUGCCCCCUGCUGUUCCUGUCCACGUCCAUGUCCCUGGUCACACUUAGUCUCCAACCUGCUCUCCCGUGUCCUCGCCCCUUUGUCCGUCAUGAAGCUCCGGUGCUGAGGUCCCUGUCUGUGCCUAAUACCCACCCACUAACCUGAACUGUUUCUUCCCCACCUCCUCCUCCUCCUCCUCCUCCACCCAGCUCCAGCACCCUGCUCACCUCCGGUCCUCUUCCUGUCAGUGGUGCAACCUGGUGUAGACUUGUUAAACGGGGGGGUGGGGUCCGGUGUGACCGUCUCGCCCUGCCGCAGGUGCCAGCUGCCCUUAUGCUUCAAGCACAAGCACUUAAAGCACUUUAGCUGCGCCGCUACUCGUCAAUGCAUGCAGUUAAAGACAAUUGGACCUAUCUGCAUCUGCAUACCUUUCCCUGGAGGUAAUGUCAGAUGAAACAGUGUGAUACUGUAAGCAAACAAUAAUAACCUGAGAGGAAAAAAAAAAGAAAGAAAGAAAUGAAAAAAAAAAAAAAACGAAGCUACACCAGGACUUCUGACAGCGAACUUUAGCGAACACCCCUCAGAAAUUUUCCAUUCAAUGCAACUAUUUUCUUUUUUUUUUUGUUGUUGUUGUUUUUGUUUCUUUGAAAAAUGCUCGUAUGAUCGUAUGCCAACAAAUCUCCACAAGGUGGACACAGCACCAAAUAUGCAUUCACACAAGUGGUAGGGGGUCUGAGGGAGGAGGCGUUGGUCCUCCCCGAGGAGCUUCCUGCCCGAUGCUCUCCCACAUCCUGUGUAAAGACUUGAAAAGUGGAGAGAGUGCCGACAAAGAAUGCUUGCCCAGUAGCUUGGUAGCAUGAAAUCGGCUGUACACUUCCUUUUUAAUAGACAGCAGCAACUUACAACCAGCCUGUUGGUGCUAUAUCCCAUCUAUUCAAAGACUUGAUGUAAGGGGAGGAACAUACAUACAAAUGUUUAAGCUAUUCCCUCCCUGAUAUUUGUAAGUGUGUCUUUUUAUAUAUAUUAUUAUUAUUAUUAUUUCCUGGCCAGCUAUGUGUCUGACUAGACAUCAUGUACAGUACUUAAAAAUAAAAAUUAUUUAUCUAAGAAAGAAUUAUAAGCUGAUCCAAACUAGGUUUUCUUAUGAACAAUUCAGUGACUCACCGAUUGCACAGCAAAGUCUAUAUGAUUCAGUGUAUUUUGGGGAAUAUAAUCACUAAUGAAUGUUAUAUUUUUUAAUGAACCUUUUUGUUUUCUUCCUUCUUCUGUUGCUCAGCAGUGUCAUUUGUAAGCUCCGUGCCCAGCAGGCGAGUUUCAGCCUCUGGGGCAACAAAAAAAAAAAUAUAAAGAAAAAAAAAUAUGUGUGUCAGUCAGGCACUCAGGUCUCUGGUCAUCUUAGUUCACUGCUUCUUCUUCAGGCCAGUGAACCUCUCACCUCUCACUAAGUCACUUCUCUCCAUGCACACCCAGCCAUCCCGCCUCAGUCUGUUAGUGCAGAGCCAGGGUCACACUCCUGUAACAUCACUUUUUAUUUUUUUAUUACUUUUAUUUUUCCCUGCUGGUCACAUUAAGAAAUCUCUCUGUUCACGGGUAAAUGUGUUUUGUUUUUGUUUUUUUCAUUUCAAGUUUAUCCUUCAAAGAGUUAUUUUGAUUCAAGCUUUUCAUGAUACUAAACUAGAAAUCACACAGAGAAAUGAUUUUGAUUCAAAAUAUAAUUUGUAUUUAAUGUCUUUUUUUAAAUAAAAGUGAACACAUUUUAAA
Molecule: RNA transcript, 4574 nt
Organism: Lates calcarifer (barramundi perch)
Lineage: Eukaryota; Metazoa; Chordata; Actinopteri; Centropomidae
Gene: igfbp3
Gene name: insulin-like growth factor binding protein 3
Exons: 4
Source: RefSeq, a predicted model, not a curated record